UCGCGGCUUAUCACCGGCAGUCCCCUUAGAGUGCCCAACUGAAUGAUGGCAACUAAGGGCGAGGGUUGCGCUCGUUGCGGGACUUAACCCAACAUCUCACGACACGAGCUGACGACAGCCAUGCAGCACCUGUCUCAAUGUUCCCGAAGGCACUCCGCUAUCUCUAGCAGAUUCAUUGGAUGUCAAGGCCUGGUAAGGUUCUUCGCGUUGCUUCGAAUUAAACCACAUGCUCCACC
RNAcentral lists this unclassified non-coding RNA (236 nucleotides) under uncultured Pseudomonadota bacterium. RNAcentral's name for it is "uncultured proteobacterium contains 16S-23S intergenic spacer region". The record is from RNAcentral. Lineage: Bacteria; Pseudomonadati; Pseudomonadota.